RNAcentral lists this ribosomal RNA (212 nucleotides) under uncultured bacterium. Its description in RNAcentral is "partial 16S ribosomal RNA". It matches the Rfam family "Bacterial small subunit ribosomal RNA", at positions 1289 to 1500 of the family's 1533-position model. The record is from RNAcentral.
CAGUUCAGAUUGCAGGCUGCAACUCGCCUGCAUGAAGUUGGAAUUGCUAGUAAUCGCGAAUCAGAAUGUCGCGGUGAAUACGUUCCCGGGCCUUGUACACACCGCCCGUCACACCAUGAGAGUCGAUAACACCCGAAGCCUGUGAGCUAACCGCAAGGGGGCAGCAGUCGAAGGUGGGGUUGAUGAUUGGGGUGAAGUCGUAACAAGGUACC